GGGCAAUGACGAGUAAAGAAGUCAUGCACCACUCUGAUUUUGCUAAUCAGUGAUGAAAAUGCUUUCUCAAACCCAUAUGAUCUGAGCCC
This is a small nucleolar RNA of Diospyros lotus (date-plum), 89 nucleotides long. RefSeq annotates it as small nucleolar RNA Z221/R21b. The transcript has a single exon. The record is from RefSeq and is a predicted model, not a curated record. NCBI's taxonomy places the organism in Eukaryota, Viridiplantae, Streptophyta, Magnoliopsida, Ericales, Ebenaceae.